This 470-nucleotide ribosomal RNA is filed under the name uncultured bacterium. RNAcentral describes it as "SSU rRNA". It matches the Rfam family "Bacterial small subunit ribosomal RNA", at positions 26 to 518 of the family's 1533-position model. The record is from RNAcentral.
AGGACGAACGCUGGCGGCGUGCUUAACACAUGCAAGUCGAGCGGAAAGGCCCUUCGGGGUACUCGAGCGGCGAACGGGUGAGUAACACGUGAGCAACCUGCCCCUGGCUCUGGGAUAGCCUCCGGAAACGGGGAUUAAUACCGGACAUUCACUUCCUUCCGCAUGGUUGGUGGUGGAAAGUUUUUCGGCCGGGGAGGGCUCGCGGCCUAUCAGCUUGUUGGCGGGGUAACGGCCCACCAAGGCGACGACGGGUAGCCGGCCUGAGAGGGCGACCGGCCACACUGGGACUGAGACACGGCCCAGACUCCUACGGGAGGCAGCAGUGGGGAAUAUUGCGCAAUGGGCGGAAGCCUGACGCAGCGACGCCGCGUGGGGGAUGAAGGCCUUCGGGUUGUAAACCCCUUUCACCAGGAGCGAAUCCAGACGGUACCUGGGGAAGAAGCGCCGGCUAACUACGCGCCAGCAGCCGC